RNAcentral lists this ribosomal RNA (468 nucleotides) under uncultured bacterium. RNAcentral describes it as "partial 16S ribosomal RNA". It matches the Rfam family "Bacterial small subunit ribosomal RNA", at positions 28 to 507 of the family's 1533-position model. The record is from RNAcentral.
GACGAACGCUGGCGGCGUGCUUAACACAUGCAAGUCGAACGGAAAGGCCCUGCCUUUGUGGGGUGCUCGAGUGGCGAACGGGUGAGUAACACGUGAGUAACCUGCCCUUGACUUUGGGAUAACUUCAGGAAACUGGGGCUAAUACCGGAUAGGAGCUCCUGCUGCAUGGUGGUGGCUGGAAAGUUUCGGCGGUUGGGGAAGGACUCGCGGCUUAUCAGCUUGUUGGUGGGGUAGUGGUUUACCAAGGCUUUGACGGGUAGCCGGCCUGAGAGGGUGACAGGCCACAUUGGGACUGAGAUACGGCCAAGACUCAUACGGGAGGCAGCAGUGGGGAAUAUUGCACAAUGGGCGGAAGCCUGAUGCAGCAACGCCGCGUGCGGGAUGACGGCCUUCGGGGUGUAAACCGCUUUCGCCUGUGACGAAGCGUGAGUGACGGUAAUGGGUAAAGAAGCACCGGCUAACUACGUG